Molecule: ribosomal RNA, 501 nt
Filed under: uncultured bacterium
Lineage: Bacteria
Description: partial 16S ribosomal RNA
Rfam family: Bacterial small subunit ribosomal RNA
Source: RNAcentral
AUUGAACGCUGGCGGCAGGCUUAACACAUGCAAGUCGAGCGGGGGAAGGUAGCUUGCUACCGGACCUAGCGGCGGACGGGUGAGUAAUGCUUAGGAAUCUGCCUAUUAGUGGGGGACAACAUCUCGAAAGGGAUGCUAAUACCGCAUACGUCCUACGGGAGAAAGCAGGGGAUCUUCGGACCUUGCGCUAAUAGAUGAGCCUAAGUCGGAUUAGCUAGUUGGUGGGGUAAAGGCCUACCAAGGCGACGAUCUGUAGCGGGUCUGAGAGGAUGAUCCGCCACACGGGGACUGAGACACGGCCCAGACUCCUACGGGAGGCAGCAGUGGGGAAUAUUGGACAAUGGGGGGAACCCUGAUCCAGCCAUGCCGCGUGUGUGAAGAAGGCCUUAUGGUUGUAAAGCACUUUAAGCGAGGAGGAGGCUACUCUAGUUAAUACCUAGGGAUAGUGGACGUUACUCGCAGAAUAGGCACCGGCUAACUCUGUGCCAGCAGCCGCAGUAA